GGCGAUCUUCUUGACGAUCUGCAUGUUCUUCCUCACCAAGUAUCCGCGGAGGAUCUUCUGAAUCUUGACGGCGGCCGACGACCGGUCGGAUUCUGGUGAUCCGGGUUUGUCAUCGGCAAAGUGGACGGGGAUUGAGAUGACCCGGGAUUUCUGAGCCGGUGGGGGCGGCGCCGGGCACCGCGUGGGACGGGGAGAGUAAGCGCGGCGGGCCGGGAAGAAGAGGUUCUCCAUCUCGCUCUCACACUCGAUGUCGA
This 254-nucleotide unclassified non-coding RNA is filed under the name Hevea brasiliensis (rubber tree). Lineage: Eukaryota; Viridiplantae; Streptophyta; Magnoliopsida; Malpighiales; Euphorbiaceae. The record is from RNAcentral.